RNAcentral lists this antisense RNA (75 nucleotides) under Streptomyces yokosukanensis. RNAcentral's name for it is "ASpks TB sRNA". It matches the Rfam family "ASpks TB sRNA". The record is from Rfam by way of RNAcentral. Lineage: Bacteria; Bacillati; Actinomycetota; Actinomycetes; Kitasatosporales; Streptomycetaceae.
CUUCACGGAGCCGAGCAGCAGCGGCCGGUCCUCGUGGUGGUCGCGGCCGUACGUGGCCAGCAGGGCCUGGGCUUC